Molecule: long non-coding RNA, 492 nt
Filed under: Selaginella moellendorffii
Lineage: Eukaryota; Viridiplantae; Streptophyta; Lycopodiopsida; Selaginellales; Selaginellaceae
Description: long non-coding RNA (SMOE_LNC001881)
Source: RNAcentral
AGUAAACUCCUGAAAUGAAGCUAUGAAUCCAGAUGGGAAAUAGAGAGUACAGACAUUUUUAUCAAGGCCUGGACAGUUUCUAUAUUAUUGUUGGAUCUCAUGCAAUCAGUGUUCUUUUAUUCUUCUUUCCAGACCCUGGCACUGCAGAAUGAUGAGUUCAGAAGAAUUAUGAUGCUCACUCUUAAGUUGCGCUUACCCCUUGAAACGGGAGGUUUCAGUUGCGCCAGCAGCGAUUGUUGCGCCAGACCCAACCCCUCUGGCAACGGUGGCAGCUGUUGUCAUACCAAUACCACCCCGACUGGCAGCGCUGGGCAGCAGCCUUUGCGAUUCCUCCCACGUCUACGCCCAUGGCCAGCAUCAUCACAAACAUGGCAAGCGCCAAAAACAUCACCAAGAAAGCCUUGUUCUCCAUGAUUUGCUGCUCAGACUAAGAUCAAGUAGGCUUGUAUAUUAGAGAGAAAUGAUUUGGUCUGUGAGGCAGGACUCAGGAGG